CUGAGCUUCACAUUCCUGUUGUUUUAACUCAAGAUCUAAUUCUUUCACCUUAACUGCCAAUACAGCAUCAGAACCAAAAUCUUUUGAAUCUAUAUUGAGAACAGAACCAAAGCCAGCAGUCUCAGAUUCUUUCUCAACACCCUCAUCAGAUGCAGCCAAAAUGCCAGGUUCUACCAGCUUAGAAAUGUCUCGUAAUUGGCAACUUUUAUUUACCUUAAAAUGUUAGUUAUUAUUAAGCAGUAUGCUGAUUAAUGUAAUGUGAAUAUACAAUAUUUUAUAUAGCAACAUCACUAUUUAGAAUAUAUUUUGACUAGUGUUUAUGUCUCAAGUAGUCUUGUUUACGUGACAAUCUGUUCGGGUGUAAAUGUAUCAAUGUGGUGUCAAUUUUUUUCUAUUAUGUGUGCAGAAUAUUUGUAUUACUGAUGUGGAAAAUACAUUAUUGUCAUGAUCAGCACACCUGCCUCACCUCCGCACCCACAACGGAGAGAAUCGUCUCCGGAGUACUAAGCGCUCCCGGACUACACUUCCCACUACACCCCGCUCAACCUAAUCAGGGCGCCAGCUGUUCCCCAUCAGCUGACGCACUUAAAUAAGCAAACAAACUUGAUCCCAUUGCGAAGUCUCGACUUGCUCCCGCAGUCAUUCUGAGCGUUUCUCUGAUUGUUUGUUCCGAUUGUUUUGACUUUGUUUCUGUUAUCUGUCUCUUCGAUUGUUCGCUGCCUGCCCUGACCUUCUGCCUGUCCCUCGAUUCCGAUUCUACCAUUUCUCUGAUAUUGUGUUUGCCGUGUUUGACCCUGCCUGCCUACUCUGUCGAGAUUAAUAAAUACGCUGCAAAUGGAUCCAUACGACUCCGCCUCGUUACAAUUAUAUUAAUUGUUUUGCUUUGUAAAUACUUUGAAAAAUACAUGAUACUAAUUAGGAUUUUUUUUUUAGGAAUGUAGCUUCACCUUGGUCUGACACUCGCACGAGGGCACGCAGCAACACGACCGACAUUCAUCCUGUAAUGUGGCUACAAUACGUUCACCUUCGUCUGACACUCGCACGAGGGCACGCAGCAAUGCAACUGGGAACAAAAAAAGAGAAUGUGUCUGCAUCACCUUUACCUGCUACUCACACAUGCCGUAGGUCUCUUUCAGUUCUCAAAGCAACUGAGACUAAUGUGUAAUUACAGUUUAUUAAAGUGUCACUGCUACAGUAAAAUACUGCGUAAUAAUUUUAUUUUAUAUUUUAUUUUUGAUUCAAAAUUUUUC
Molecule: long non-coding RNA, 1250 nt
Organism: Tachysurus fulvidraco (yellow catfish)
Lineage: Eukaryota; Metazoa; Chordata; Actinopteri; Siluriformes; Bagridae
Exons: 3
Source: RefSeq, a predicted model, not a curated record